CAGUCGCCACGGGAAUACGAAGGGUGCAAGCGUUACUCGGAAUUACUGGGCGUAAAGCGUGCGUAGGUGGUGGUUUAAGUCCGUUGUGAAAGCCCUGGGCUCAACCUGGGAAUUGCGGUGGAUACUGGGUCACUAGAGUGUGGUAGAGGAUAGUGGAAUUUCCGGUGUAGCAGUGAAAUGCGUAGAGAUCGGAAGGAACAUCUGUGGCGAAGGCGACUAUCUGGGCCAACACUGACACUGAGGCACGAAAGCGUGGGGAGCAAACAGGAUUAGAUACCCGCGUAGUCCCUGUCUCUUAUAC
RNAcentral lists this ribosomal RNA (301 nucleotides) under uncultured bacterium. RNAcentral's name for it is "partial 16S ribosomal RNA". It matches the Rfam family "Bacterial small subunit ribosomal RNA", at positions 509 to 807 of the family's 1533-position model. The record is from RNAcentral.